GGCUGUGAGGGCAAUCUGCUGUGACAUCUGUCACCCCAUUGAUCACCAGGGUUGAUGUGGGUGAUCUGUCUGGCUAGGUGGGUGUCCCCUUCCUCCCUCCCUGCUCCAUAUGCAACCCUCCUUAAGCUGUGUGCUAGGUAGAGAGGACGACCACCUCACAUGGAGGAAAGCCAUUUCCUUAGUCAAGGGUGUAGGAGUAGCUGUGCUCCUCUGCUAGAAUCUCCAAAUGAAACCUGACCACCUUGGUGUCUAGGAGUCCUUCAGGCUACUUCCUGCACUUCCUGUUUGUAACA
This 293-nucleotide small nuclear RNA is filed under the name Chinchilla lanigera (long-tailed chinchilla). RNAcentral describes it as "7SK RNA (ENSCLAG00000021727.1)". It matches the Rfam family "7SK RNA". From Rfam's summary of the family: 7SK was discovered as an abundant small nuclear RNA in the mid-70s but a possible function has only recently been suggested. Two independent studies have found that 7SK RNA binds the CDK9/cyclin T complex (known as elongation factor P-TEFb). The record is from Rfam by way of RNAcentral. Lineage: Eukaryota; Metazoa; Chordata; Mammalia; Rodentia; Chinchillidae.